Molecule: small RNA, 2823 nt
Filed under: Pan troglodytes (chimpanzee)
Lineage: Eukaryota; Metazoa; Chordata; Mammalia; Primates; Hominidae
Description: processed transcript
Source: RNAcentral
UGUGCAGCUCCGCUCAAAGUAUCUCAGGUUCCGGGGCAGAAUCCUGGAAAACCCAACUCGGAGCUGAGUCUGCAGGUGGCUGCAGGGCGGUGCUGCUGAGUCUGCAGUUACCACCACAAAAGGAGGGCCUGAAGGCAUUGCCGGGAGACUAUGGAGGACUCACGGAGCUCUGACACCCCUCACCUGGAGGAGGUGGCUUCCCCCCACCCCCCACUCUGCCUGCACCACCUUUGCCUGGGGCGGCCAAUGCAUGGCAGUGGAGUCAGUAAUCGCCCUUGCUCCUCCCCAGGGUCAAACCCACUGGGGUCUGGGGAUUGAAAUUCUGAGAGGAGUGUAGGAGGAGAGUGUCUCCCCAAAGAAAAUGCAGGAAUGCAUUGGCUUCUAUCACAAAAAUCCUGGGAAUGUUCCUGAGAAGGGAUUUUGGAGAUGCUCGGCCUAGGACUGGCCCUCGGGAAGAUGACCCGACCUUUGUCCUGUGCAGCUGAGUGCUGAACACUGGUCAGCUCUGGAUAAAGCCUGAUGUCACCGAGCUGAUGGCGGGGCGUCUGCACUGAACACCUUCCAGCUUGGUGGGGGCACGGGAACCAGCUGUCCUCAUUAAAAGUGACCUGGAGUGAGAUGGAUUCUUCUGCCUAUACCUCCACGCGUGGGCUCCCUGAACACCCCCAUCGCCAUGGGCUCCCAAGAAGUAUUGCUGCUGGCUGCAGGGCUCACUGCAAUGCUGCGACAGGAGGUGACAGGCCAAGGCCAGCAGGUGACUGCUCUCCCCAGAGGCCCUGUCAGCUGGAAGCAGCUGGUUUCACAUAACAGAGACCCCAGGCCCAGGUCCCCUGGAUGCAGGAGGAUUUGCGGCUGCCCUUUUGGAAGAGUUCCUGUUCCAGGUGCUGACUUUUAUGAUCUACAUUGUGAGCACUGUGUUCUGCGGGCACCUGGGCAAGGUGGAGCUGGCAUCGGUGACCCUCGCGGUGGCCUUUGUCAAUGUCUGCGGAGUUUCUGUAGGAGUUGGUUUGUCUUCGGCAUGUGACACCUUGAUGUCUCAGAGCUUCGGCAGCCCCAACAAGAAGCACGUGGGCGUGAUCCUGCAGCGCGGCGCGCUGGUCCUGCUCCUCUGCUGCCUCCCUUGCUGGGCGCUCUUCCUCAACACCCAGCACAUCCUGCUGCUCUUCCGGCAGGACCCGGACGUGUCCAGGUUGACCCAGGACUAUGUAAUGAUUUUCAUUCCAGGACUUCCGGUGAUUUUUCUUUACAAUCUGCUGGCAAAAUAUUUGCAAAAUCAGAAGAUCACCUGGCCCCAAGUCCUCAGUGGUGUGGUGGGCAACUGUGUCAACGGUGUGGCCAACUAUGCCCUGGUUUCUGUGCUGAACCUGGGGGUCAGGGGCUCCGCCUAUGCCAACAUCAUCUCCCAGUUUGCACAGACCGUCUUCCUCCUUCUCUACAUUGUGCUGAAGAAGCUGCACCUGGAGACGUGGGCAGGUUGGUCCAGCCAGUGCCUGCAGGACUGGGGCCCCUUCUUCUCCCUGGCUGUCCCCAGCAUGCUCAUGAUCUGUGUUGAGUGGUGGGCCUAUGAGAUCGGGAGCUUCCUCAUGGGGCUGCUCAGCGUGGUGGAUCUCUCUGCCCAGGCUGUCAUCUACGAGGUGGCCACUGUGACCUACAUGAUUCCCUUGGGGCUCAGCCUCGGGGUCUGUGUCCGAGUGGGGAUGGCUCUGGGAGCUGCGGAUACUGUGCAGGCCAAGCGCUCGGCCGUCUCGGGCGUGCUCAGCAUAGAGAUGUCAUUGCCCUGGUGAGCCAGGUCUUGCCGGUUUAUAGUGUCUUUCACGUGUUUGAGGCCAUCUGUUGUGUCUAUGGCGGAGUUCUGAGAGGAACUGGGAAGCAGGCCUUUGGUGCCGCUGUGAAUGCCAUCACAUAUUACAUCAUCGGCCUACCACUGGGCAUCCUUCUGACCUUUGUGGUCAGAAUGAGAAUCAUGGGUAUGUGGUGUGAGGAAGUCGGGAGAGGCCUGGGUGGUCGUCAGACAUUGUUCCCAUCAUCACUUGUCUCCUCCAGGCCUCUGGCUGGGCAUGCUGGCCUGUGUCUUCCUGGCAACUGCUGCCUUUGUUGCUUAUACUGCCCGGCUGGACUGGAAGCUUGCUGCAGAGGAGGCUAAGAAACAUUCUGGCCGGCAGCAGCAGCAGAGAGCAGAGAGCACUGCAACCAGACCUGGGCCUGAGAAAGCAGUCCUAUCUUCAGUGGCUACAGGCAGUUCCCCUGGCAUUACCUUGACAACGUAUUCAAGGUCUGAUUGCCACGUGGACUUCUUCAGGACUCCAGAGGAGGCCCACGCCCUUUCAGCUCCUACCAGCAGACUAUCAGUGAAACAGCUGGUCAUCCGCCGUGGGGCCGCUCUGGGGGCGGCGUCAGCCACACUGAUGGUGGGGCUCACGGUCAGGAUCCUAGCCACCAGGCACUAGCGAAGAAGCUUGGAAAUAGAAAGCCAGGAGUGGCUGUCCCCAGUAUGCAAACACACCACGGUAUGCCCUGCAAAAACACCAAUGGGGUCUAGUGCAGGUGGACACUUUGAACCACUCCUCAAAAAAAGAACUUUGGCUGAUUCCUUGUGGUGACACUCAGAGGGGUCUGAACAGAGCAGACUUGACAAUUCUGUUCUGGUCAAGCUGGAGUUUUCUUCUGUGACUUGGACUGCUCUACAGAAGACAUCAGCUAACUGCACAAGUCAGAGUCCAGGGAUUGUCACUAUUAUUAAUAAUGUAAAUGGCUUCAAAUGGGACACUGCAGAUAAAAUCACAAAAACCACUGUUAUAUUAAAGAUUACACAUUUCCUAGGCA